UACACACCGCCCGUCACAUCACGAAAGCGGGUUGUACUAGAAGGUCCGCAGGCCGACCCGCAAGGGGGGCAGCGGCCCAAGGUAUGACUCGUGAUUGGGGGGGUG
Molecule: ribosomal RNA, 105 nt
Filed under: uncultured bacterium
Lineage: Bacteria
Description: partial 16S ribosomal RNA
Source: RNAcentral